This 497-nucleotide ribosomal RNA is filed under the name uncultured bacterium. RNAcentral describes it as "partial 16S ribosomal RNA". It matches the Rfam family "Bacterial small subunit ribosomal RNA", at positions 28 to 507 of the family's 1533-position model. The record is from RNAcentral.
GAUGAACGCUGGCGGCGUGCCUAAUACAUGCAAGUCGAGCGAACGGACGAGAAGCUUGCUUCUCUGAUGUUAGCGGCGGACGGGUGAGUAACACGUGGAUAACCUACCUAUAAGACUGGGAUAACUUCGGGAAACCGGAGCUAAUACCGGAUAAUAUUUUGAACCGCAUGGUUCAAAAGUGAAAGACGGUCUUGCUGUCACUUAUAGAUGGAUCCGCGCUGCAUUAGCUAGUUGGUAAGGUAACGGCUUACCAAGGCAACGAUGCAUAGCCGACCUGAGAGGGUGAUCGGCCACACUGGAACUGAGACACGGUCCCGACUCCGACGGGAGGCAGCAGUAGGGAAUCUUCCGGAAUGGGCGAAAGCCUGACGGAGCAACGCCGCGGGAGGGAUGAAGGUCUUCGGAUCGGAAAACUCUGUUAUUAGGGAAGAACAUAUGUGUAAGUAACUGGGCACAUCUUGACGGUACCUAAUCAGAAAGCCACGGCUAACUACGUG